Long non-coding RNA from Saccostrea cuccullata (small rock oyster), 532 nucleotides. RefSeq lists it as uncharacterized. Lineage: Eukaryota; Metazoa; Mollusca; Bivalvia; Ostreida; Ostreidae. The transcript is spliced from 3 exons. The record is from RefSeq and is a predicted model, not a curated record.
UUCUUUCUACACGAGUAAUAGAAAUGUCAAAUCCGAAAAAGAGUUUGCAGUGUAAAUCAGUUUUCUUUAAUUACGUAUUUGUACCGUAAAUUGAAAGUUCUGGAAGAUACUGACCUUUGAAGAAGGAUACUGGAAUCCAGUCGUACUAAAAAGAAAGGCGUUGAAAAUAUCAAAUGGUAACAUUGAUGACCUUACAGAGGUUUGCCUGAAAGUAUUCUGUUCAGAGACUUCCUUUUCUUUCUUUUCUACAUAGGCUAUAUUUAUCAUACACCGAUCGAGUUCCACAGAUUGCUUACAGCAGCAGAGCAAGAAGACACCAACAUAAUUGUUCGAGUAUUUGCUUUCAAAUAACACUAAGUUCAACUGAAAUUUAUUUCCAGCAUCGUAGAGUAAGGCCAAAGUACUUUAUGCCCGUCUCUGAUCUUUGUCGCCAUUCCUCCAUAAAAGACACUCCGCUGGCAAAAUAGUCCAAAAACUUGAAUGCAUGUAGAAAAACUAUAUAAAAAAUUAGUUUUGAUAUCUUUCAAAUAAA